GUCCAAACUAUAUCAGUUAGCAUAUAUUUACAGUUAUAAAUAACACUACAGGGUCCUCAUACUUUUAUGUCCUGUUUUCAAGAUGAAUUCCUAGAAGAGUUUUAUGGUCAAAAGGUAGGAAUGUUUUAAAGACUGAUGAUGUAAAUUACCAAAUUGUUUUCCAGAAGGAGCACCAGUUACACUCCCGGUGGUGGCUGAGUGUGGGAGUAUCCAUUUCCUGUAUCUUGCCAACACGUGGUCCUUGAAUGGGCAAGAGGGCACAUGAAGUACGGCGUCCUCCACAUUCACGGCCUCUACACGGACCCCUGCGGGGUGGUGCUGGACCCAUCGGGGUAUAAAGACGUCACUCAAGAC
RNAcentral lists this small RNA (354 nucleotides) under Pan troglodytes (chimpanzee). RNAcentral describes it as "processed transcript". The record is from RNAcentral. Lineage: Eukaryota; Metazoa; Chordata; Mammalia; Primates; Hominidae.